This 24-nucleotide non-coding RNA is filed under the name Arabidopsis thaliana (thale cress). The record is from RNAcentral. Lineage: Eukaryota; Viridiplantae; Streptophyta; Magnoliopsida; Brassicales; Brassicaceae.
AGGACGCCUGAUAAACCAAGCUUC